Molecule: non-coding RNA, 406 nt
Organism: Phascolarctos cinereus (koala)
Lineage: Eukaryota; Metazoa; Chordata; Mammalia; Diprotodontia; Phascolarctidae
Source: RefSeq, a predicted model, not a curated record
GAUGAUGAAGAGGGAUGGCCCCUUCUUCAGGGAUUGAUUGCCGGGAUGAUGGCUGCAGAGACAGGUCUAGAAACAGGUUCACAGAUCCCCUGAAAGUUAUCCAUGGACCUCCUUGGAGUUCUGUAGGACCUCAAGUUAAGAAACCCUGAUUUAGGGAGAAAAUAUACAUAUCAGCUUUAAAUCACCUCUCUACUCUGGAACUAAGCCAAUUUCAGCCACAACUGACUGCUGGUCAGGAAAAGGACUGUGUCUCUGAUUUCGAGGGAGAUCGUGCCUAAUCCCAUGAUCCUAGGUGACAGGUAAGUUAUGCUAACCCUCUUCUUGGUGCUGGCCAGCAGUUCACCCGGGACUAGUGGUCCUUUCCAUAAGCUUAACUGUUCCUGGAUCCUCUGGGAAUUCCACAAAC